RNAcentral lists this ribosomal RNA (397 nucleotides) under uncultured bacterium. RNAcentral describes it as "partial 16S ribosomal RNA". It matches the Rfam family "Bacterial small subunit ribosomal RNA", at positions 523 to 918 of the family's 1533-position model. The record is from RNAcentral.
AUACGUAGGGGGCGAGCGUUGUCCGGAAUGAUUGGGCGUAAAGGGCGCGUAGGCGGCCCGGUAAGUCUGGAGUGAAAGUCCUGUUUUUAAGAUGGGAAUUGCUUUGGAUACUGUCGGGCUUGAGUGCAGGAGAGGUAAGUGGAAUUCCCAGUGUAGCGGUGAAAUGCGUAGAGAUUGGGAGGAACACCAGUGGCGAAGGCGACUUACUGGACUGUAACUGACGCUGAGGCGCGAAAGUGUGGGGAGCAAACGGGAUUAGAUACCCUGGUAGUCCACACUGUAAACGAUGAAUGCUAGGUGUAGGGGGUAUCGACCCCUUCUGUGCCGCAGUCAACACAAUAAGCAUUCCGCCUGGGGAGUACGGCCGCAAGGUUGAAACUCAAAUGAAUUGACGGGG